RNAcentral lists this ribosomal RNA (630 nucleotides) under uncultured bacterium. Its description in RNAcentral is "bacterial SSU rRNA". The stretch from base 1 to 541 matches the Rfam family "Bacterial small subunit ribosomal RNA", at positions 338 to 873 of the family's 1533-position model. The record is from RNAcentral.
CCUACGGGAGGCAGCAGUAGGGAAUUUUGGACAAUGGGCGAAAGCCUGAUCCAGCAAUGCCGCGUGUGGGAAGAAGGCCUUCGGGUUGUAAACCACUUUUGUACGGAACGAAACGGCUCGCUUUAAUACAGCGGGCUAAUGACGGUACCGUAAGAAUAAGCACCGGCUAACUACGUGCCAGCAGCCGCGGUAAUACGUAGGGUGCGAGCGUUAAUCGGAAUUACUGGGCGUAAAGCGUGCGCAGGCGGUUAUAUAAGACAGUUGUGAAAUCCCCGGGCUCAACCUGGGAAUUGCAUCUGUGACUGUAUAGCUAGAGUACGGUAGAGGGGGAUGGAAUUCCGCGUGUAGCAGUGAAAUGCGUAGAUAUGCGGAGGAACACCGAUGGCGAAGGCAAUCCCCUGGACCUGUACUGACGCUCAUGCACGAAAGCGUGGGGAGCAAACAGGAUUAGAUACCCUGGUAGUCCACGCCCUAAACGAUGUCAACUGGUUGUUGGGUGNAUAGUACUCAGUAACGAAGACUACGACGUGAGUAGACCGCCGUGGGAGGUACGGCCGCGAGGUUAGAACGUACGAAUAGAAGUUAGACGGCGUGAGACGUGACCGACGGACGACGACGAGGGAGGUUAGG